UCGAUUAAGCCAUGCGAGUCGAGAGUCUUAGGGACUCGGCGUACCGCUCAGUAACACGUGGGUAACCUGCCCUAUGCUGGGGAAUAACCUCGGGAAACUGAGAAUAAUACCCCAUAGUUCACCACGCCUGGAACGGUGGGUGGGUGAAAGCUCCGGCGGCAUAGGAUGGGCCUGCGACGUAUCAGGUUGUAGGGGGUGUAACGUACCCUCUAGCCAUCAACGCGUACGGGUGUUGGGAGACAUAGCCCGGAGAUGGAUUCUGAGACACGAAUCCAGACCCUACGGGGUGCAGCAGGCGCGAAAACUUGGCAAUGCGAGCAAUCGUGACCAGGGAACUCCAAGUGGCUGGGGUAAUACCCAGUUUUUUCUUGACUCUUCAAAGGUCUUGGAAUAAGGGGUGGGUAAGGACGGUGCCAGCCGCCGCGGUAAUACCGGCGCCUCAAGUGGUAGUCGCUUUUAUUGGGCCUAAAACGUCCGUAGCCGGUCUGGUGCAUUCGUGGGUAAAUCAACCCGCUCAACGGGUUGAAUUCUGCGAGCACGGCCAGACUUGGGACCGGGAGAGGUGUGGGGUACUCUCAGGGUAGGGGUAAAAU
RNAcentral lists this ribosomal RNA (593 nucleotides) under uncultured Candidatus Poseidoniales archaeon. RNAcentral describes it as "bacterial SSU rRNA". It matches the Rfam family "Archaeal small subunit ribosomal RNA", at positions 40 to 638 of the family's 1478-position model. Lineage: Archaea; Methanobacteriati; Thermoplasmatota; Candidatus Poseidoniia; Candidatus Poseidoniales. The record is from RNAcentral.